AUGCACGCUGGCGGCGUGCUUAACCCAUGCAAGUCGCACGAAGCACUUAAGAUUGAUUCUUCGGAUGACGUCUUUUGUGACUUAGUGGCGGACGGGUGAGUAACGCGUGGGUAACCUGCCUCACACAGGGGGAUAACAGUUAGAAAUGACUGCUAAUACCGCAUAACCCGAUAGGAUCGCAUGAUCCAGACGGAAAAGAUUUAUCGGUGUGAGAUGGACCCGCGUCUGAUUAGCUAGUUGGUGAGGUAACGGCCCACCAAGGCGACGAUCAGUAGCCGGCCUGAGAGGGUGAACGGCCACAUUGGGACUGAGACACGGCCCAAACUCCUACGGGAGGCAGCAGUGGGGAAUAUUGCACAAUGGGGGAAACCCUGAUGCAGCGACGCCGCGUGAGUGAAGAAGUAUUUCGGUAUGUAAAGCUCUAUCAGCAGGGAAGAAAAUGACGGUACCUGACUAAGAAGCCCCGGCUAACUACGUG
Molecule: ribosomal RNA, 478 nt
Filed under: uncultured bacterium
Lineage: Bacteria
Description: partial 16S ribosomal RNA
Rfam family: Bacterial small subunit ribosomal RNA
Source: RNAcentral